AGCCACCAGAGGGCGCCAGAGCCCGCCAAGCCUCGUAGGAGAUGGCAACAGGGCCUGCUGCUGCCACCUAGCGGCCAAUUCCGGGAAUGAAUCUCGGCACGCUCAUUACCCAGCGACUCUGCCCAUCUUGACCCUUUAUGUGAAGCAGAACAGCCGCUUCCGCAGUGAGCUGUCAGAAGGCGUCGUGCCUGUCUUGCUAGUGGGGAAACUGAGGCUCAGAGAGGCAGAAGACUUGCCCAAGAUCACACCACCGGGACCCAGGAUUCAAGCGCAGGCCUGCCCAGGCUCUCUGUGGCCUCCUGGCUGCGAGGAGGCAGCCAGGGACCAGGUGCCACCCUUCUGAGACACCUGAGAUCCCAGGCCCGAGAGGAUGAAGGCGGGAUUACCUGGAGCGUGUCUGAAUGCUGGAGGAAGAAGGGCAGCUGGGAGAUGAAGCUGUCAGGAUGGGCCGCAUCCCAUUUCCUGCCUCGUUUCAGUUCAACUUUCCAACAGACCUCCCUGGCUCGUCUUGCUCUUCUCUAAUGGACAAACAAACAGGCUCAGAGAGGUGGUGUGACUUGCCCAAGGUCACUCAGCUUGGAUGCUAUGGAACAGGGACGUCCACUGUCCCAGUCUGUUUAUGGGAAGCCGCUCUGCAACUGUCCUGACCCACCACAUGCCCCACCGCUGUUUCUCUUGCCCUGACCCCUUGUUCCCUGGACCAGGGUGGCACAGCUCCAGGCUCUUGGGCCCUUCCCGAGGGCAGGCACCUGUGACUGUGUCCCCAAAGACCUGAGUGGCUGAGGGGGCCCCACAGAGCUUGGACUUCCUGGAGGACAAGGAGGGGUCUGCCAGCCACCCCCACCACGCCCGCCCCAGGGCUCCCCUGGAGCUUCCAUGCCAGCCGGACUCAGGACCCCUGUGAUCACACUGGCCCCCCCACCGGAUGACCCAGGAUAAUCCAUCUCCCUGUUUGAAGGUCGGCUGAUUAGCAACCUUCAUUCCAUCUGCCUCCUUCAUUCCCCCUGGCCAUGUAAUGGGAUUCACAGCUUCUGGGGAUUAGGACAUGGACAUCUUGUGGCGGGGGCAUAAUUCUGUCGACGACACCAAGAAACACUUGGAUGUUAAGGAUUCACCGAACACUGUUCAGGCUCCAGGUGCUGGGAGCAGCAGUGAACAAAGCCAACAGACACUGCCACCCUCAAGGAGUUCACGUUCAUGGGCGAGGGAACAGAUGAGAAACCCGGCAAUGAAAGCUCCACCAUCUCUUCCCCUAAAGGCAACCACCAUUCUGAUUUCUCUCACCAAAGACUGGAAAAAUAUCCCAAUACCUGGAUGUAUGCCUCACGUGUCCCGCUGGCCCCAGCACCCAGGUAUAGUUAGUUACUGCUGUGCCUGGCUUCACUCUCACUUUUUUUUUUUUUUUCUUUUUUUGAGACAUAGUCUCGCUCUGUAGCCCAGGCUGGAGUGCAGUGUGGCACAAUCUCAGCUCACUGCAACCUUCACCUCCCAGGUUCAAGCGAUUCUCCUGCCUCAGCCUCUCGAGUAGCUGCGACUACAGGUGCCCACCACCACACCUGGCUAAUUUUUGUAUUUU
Molecule: long non-coding RNA, 1576 nt
Filed under: Homo sapiens (human)
Lineage: Eukaryota; Metazoa; Chordata; Mammalia; Primates; Hominidae
Description: non-protein coding SLC25A25-AS1:10
Source: RNAcentral